RNAcentral lists this ribosomal RNA (550 nucleotides) under uncultured bacterium. Its description in RNAcentral is "bacterial SSU rRNA". It matches the Rfam family "Bacterial small subunit ribosomal RNA", at positions 355 to 896 of the family's 1533-position model. The record is from RNAcentral.
UAGGGAAUCUUCGGCAAUGGGGGCAACCCUGACCGAGCAACGCCGCGUGAGUGAAGAAGGUUUUCGGAUCGUAAAACUCUGUUGUAAGUCAAGAACGAGUGUGAGAGUGGAAAGUUCACACUGUGACGGUAGCUUACCAGAAAGGGACGGCUAACUACGUGCCAGCAGCCGCGGUAAUACGUAGGUCCCGAGCGUUGUCCGGAUUUAUUGGGCGUAAAGCGAGCGCAGGCGGUUUGAUAAGUCUGAAGUUAAAGGCUGUGGCUCAACCAUAGCUCGCUUUGGAAACUGUCAAACUUGAGUGCAGAAGGGGAGAGUGGAAUUCCAUGUGUAGCGGUGAAAUGCGUAGAUAUAUGGAGGAACACCGGUGGCGAAAGCGGCUCUCUGGUCUGUAACUGACGCUGAGGCUCGAAAGCGUGGGGAGCGAACAGGAUUAGAUACCCUGGUAGUCCACGCCGUAAACGAUGAGUGCUAGGUGUUGGAUCCUUUCCGGGAUUCAGUGCCGCAGCUAACGCAUUAAGCACUCCGCCUGGGGAGUACGACCGCAAGGUUG